GAUGAAGAACGUAGCAAAAUGCGAUACUUGGUGUGAAUUGCAGAAUCCCGUGAACCAUCGAGUUUUUGAACGCAAGUUGCGCCCGAAGCCUUUUGGCCGAGGGCACGUCUGCCUGGGCGUCACGCAUCGCGUCGCCCCCCACAAUUCUCCGUAAAGGGAACGUGUGUUUUGGGGGCGGAUAUUGGUCUCCCGUGCUCAUGGCGUGGUUGGCCGAAAUAGGAGUCCUUUCGAUGGACGCACGAACUAGUGGUGGUCGUAAAACCCUCGUCUUUUGUUUCGUGCUGUUGCUCGCAAGGUAAACUCUUUAAAAACCCCAAUGUGUCGUCUCUUGACGACGCUUCGACCGCGACCCCAGGUCAGGCGGGACUACCCGCUGAGUUUAAGCAUAUCAUAAGCGGAGGA
RNAcentral lists this unclassified non-coding RNA (402 nucleotides) under soil metagenome. RNAcentral describes it as "partial contains 5.8S ribosomal RNA, internal transcribed spacer 2, and large subunit ribosomal RNA". The stretch from base 1 to 122 matches the Rfam family "5.8S ribosomal RNA", at positions 35 to 154 of the family's 154-position model. The record is from RNAcentral.